AAAUUAUGUUUAUUUUUGAUAUCAUUUUCUAGUUGUUCACUCUUAAUGCAUAGAAGUACAAUUGAUUUUUAUGUAUAUUGUGAUAUCCUAAAUUUAUUUAUUAUUUCUAGGAGUUUUUUUUUUCUUUAUAGAUUCUUUAGGAUCUCCUAUGUCAGUAUGUCAUCUAUAAAUGGAUACAAUUUUAAUUCUUCCUUUGCAAUCUGUUUGCCAUUUAUUUUUCUUAUCUUACUGCACUAGCUAGAAUUUUCCCUUCAGUGCAUCCCAAACUCUUGAUAUUGGUAAAAAUCAGUCUUUGCACAGGUCUCAAGGUUUUUUGUUUUGAUUUCAGUAUUUUUUUCCUUCAUAAAAGCAUGAAUAAUCAGUUGCAAAAAUCCCUUCAACCCAUAAAGUUGUAUUAUUCCAGAACUAAGAAGAAACUCAAGAAUUGGCUUUAUUUUUUUUUCUUGUUGGCAUGGGAUGAAAUUUAACUUGCGUGGUAUUUAUUCGUGCUAUUUGCCAAGUACUUUUGGUUCUCCCACCUUCUGGGUACAGGUAAUUAGGUGCUUCCUAAUUACCUUAUGGUUAGAUGGGUCCAUGUGAAUGGUUUCAGCCAAUGAGUGAGUGAUAACAUGAUAUGUAUCACUUCUGUACCAGAGCAUUGAACUACUAUUGAUGUAAGACUCUCCAGAACUCUCUUUUUCCUCUAGCAUUAACCAAUGAUGCUUAAGGUGAAAGCUACUCCAUCUCCCUAUAUCUCUGAGUGUCUAAAAUGAACAGAGCCUCCACUGCUGACCCACAGUGGACAUAUGGCUUGAGACAAAUAAAAUUUUGUUCUUUUAAGGCACUGAGACUACAGCUCCAAUUUGACCCCUAGCCUGGGAACCUCCAUAUGCCAAGGGAGCGGCCCUAGAAAAGGCAAAAAACAAAAAGCAGUUGAAGAAGAUCUUAGUGUUCUGUGACCACAGAAGAGACCUGGCGGAACAGAGUUUAUCAGCAGGACACAGCCAAGGAAGUUUUCUCUGAGAAAGUAAGCUCUGAGUUUAGAACUAAAGGGUGAAUUAAGAGCCAUUAUGGGUUAUUUGGUUUGAGCAUGGUAUAGGAAGGGGAACAAGUCAAGCAGAAGAAACAAUAAAUUUAAUGAGAGAAAGACUAUAUGAUGGGCCCCAAAUGAGAGGCAGAUAACAUACUAGAGGAGGUCCCAGAACAAUUUUCACUGUUACUAGGGAAAUGAGGAAGGCUUCCUAUAAGAGAUGGUGCUUGGACUAGACCUAAAUGGGCAGGAGGGACUCUCGCAGGUGGAUAUCCUAGAGGAGGGAGGAAGAAGAGGUAAGGAGUUUGGAUUUCCCCCACUGGUAGCGGAGGGUCAGUGAAGGUUUUGGAAUAGGAGAAUGAGGUGAUCAGAAAACUUGGGUGAGAGGGGCUCCUUCUUCCCCCCUGGAGAUGGCUCCAUAUGUAACCUAAAAAGAUUUCAGAGCUUCUGGCCUCCUGGAGCUCAGAGAGGGGUUUCAGUGGUCAGCUCUCCUCUGCCCACAGGGAGAAACCACAUGGUCUUUAGGGCAUAUGCAGGAGAGGCAGGAAGUAAGGGACACAGGGUCCUGCAGCCAGCACUUUCUUCUCUAGUGGCAAUAAAAUGUAUGUGUGGGCAUUGUACCCAAAAUAGCUCAGAGCAGAGGGCUGCGUGCAUGCUAACUCUUACAUGAAAUAAGCUGUGAUAGAUAAAGAAAGGACCUUGUAUUUGUUUUAGGACCCUUUAAGGUGAAAAGAAAAGAAUCUCAAUUCAAUCUAAAGUAAAGACUAAAGAGAACUAAUUGAACUAUGGGACUGGGUACCUCCAGGGAUGGCACUGACUGCAGGCAUGGCUGAAUCCAGGACUUAACCAAGGUAUCAGGAUUCUCUUUCUCCAUCUCCUGAAUUUGCUUCCAACUAUAUAUUGGCCUCAUUAUCUCCCUUUGCAGUUGGGCUUCCUCUAUGCAGGUAAAGAAAAGAACUGUUAAAAGUUCUAGGCUUACAUUGUUGCACAAAGAGGGAGUUUCUCUGUGUCAGUAUACAAAUCCCAGGGAAACUCUCUGAUUGGUCCAGAUGAGAUCUGGAUCACAUGCCCAUCUCUUGGACAAAUCACUGCUGCCAGAGGGAAGAGUUACUGUGGUUGGUUAGGCCUGUACAGAGGACUGCCUGGCAGCUUCGGCCAAAUCACACACAGUGGAGGAGAGUAGAGCCCCAGUGGAAACAAAGCUAUGUUGACAAAAAUAACCUAGAGCCAUUAUGGUCCUUUUCUCAGGCUGUCUUCCGUAAGGCAAGUGACCCACAGCAGAGUUUGUAUUCAUCCUAGCAAUUUGGGAGGCUGGGUCAUUUAAGGAGCAAAAAAAUAAUAAUUAUUAUUUAUAUGCAUAUAUGAUAAUGAUUAUAUACAUAUGUAUUUUUUAAAUGAGAUUUUGAAGACAGGCAUUAUCAAUAAUUUCCAUUUGACAAGAUUAAUUAAAGCUGUGGAGUUCUGCCUUCUUAAGAGGUCUAGUUGCGCCUCCAAGGGGUUUUAACGCAGUGGGGUCCAUGGCUCUGUUCUUUUGAGGGAACAGCCUUGGAGGGAAGUCAGGUGACCUGGGCUCUGGCUCUGGGCCUGUCUCCAGCUCACUCUGUGAUCUUAGACAAGUCCUUUCCUCCCUCUGCACCUCAGAUUACCCACCUCUACACUAAGAGGACAGACUUCGUGGACUGUGGCCUCCUCCUAUAAGAUCCGCUCUCUUUUAGUUAAACCACGUUGCAAGAGCCACCCACUGCUCCCACAAGCACAGGACACCCCACAGGGAGCUGUGUCCCCCCACCUUCUCUCUGAGGACCGAAGUGUCUGGAGCACAUGGCUGAUGCUGGCAUCAGGAAUGAACUCAAAUUCAAUAUUCCUGAAGCUCCGGGCCCUGGCUCCACUGACAGGGACCUACAAAGAGGGCAGUUGCCAGCCGUGAUUCCUAAGAAGCCAAUUCACAGUCACAGAGUCAGAAGGUCCUAUAAGUCCCCUGAGCCAAGACCCCUGUCCUUUGCUGGAACUCCUCCCUAAGAGUGGCUUCUCCAGCCACUGUGCACACCUCCUGUGACGUGGGGCUCAUUCCCAUCCUUGGACCCCUCAAGAGUCCAGUUUGCCUCUCACCUCUCCGUAUAGGUCCCAGUGGUACAAAAGAGCAUCCUAGUCAGAGAUACGGAGGAAUAAAAGUGAGCAAGUGGUAGGGUGGGAGAUGAGGGGCAAAGACGGGAGGGCUUUGAAGACUGAAAAGGAGUCUGAAUUCUACCUCAAGGGCAAGGAUAUUGGGCAAGGGAGAAGCUUAGCCCUGGGAAAAGGCCUCCAGGAUGUGGUAUAGAGGACAGCAGGGCCAAGCAGGAACCUAAACCCGAGGAUGAUGAUGGAUGUGGCGUUGACAGAAGUUGACGGAUUUGACAGGUGGGAAGAUGGAAAGGCUGGCUGAAUGGCAUUUGGUGGCCCAGUAGAUGUAGGUUAGCGCCCAAGGGGAGGACAGAGGCAGCAGAUGCUGUUGUAGGGAUGGGAACCAGAGAGGUGUCUUUGGAGAAGGAGGUAAUUUCACUUGUAGACAUAGGGCUUGUGGAGUUCUCGAAGAGCCAUCUGGAGACUUUGGCAAUAGCAGUGGAGCUGAGAGGGUCAGACCAAACCCCUGACUCUGCCACCUCUUCCUCAGCAACAUCUUAACCUACCCUGGGCCUCUGUGAGAGUUAGUCUGAUUCCAACUGGAGCCACCAUUUCUUUUUUCUUUCUUUCUUUCUUUUCUUUUGUGUGUGUGUGUGUGUGUGCGCUUUUUAAGGCUGCACCCAUGAGGCAUAUGGAGGUUCCCAGCCUAGGGGUCCAAUCAGAGCUGCAGCUGCUGGCCUACACCACACCCACAGCAAUGCCAGGUCGGCAACGCCAGAUCCUUAACCCAUUGAGUGAGGCCAGGGAUUGAACCUGAAACCUCAUGGUUCCUAGUUGGAUUCGUUUCUGCUGCACCACAAUGGGAACUCUGGAGCCACCAUUUCUGAACAGGCAUUCAGUUUAGAGCGAGGAUUUCACUGCCUUUCUUCUUCUGCCAGGCCUCUUGAUCAUAGAGUCCUAAGAGGUCCCUGGCUCUGGGGACAGGGAGAUGUUCCUGUGGUUUGCCUUCUGCAUUGACAGCUCCAGGCUGACUUGGAAGGAGGCUGGUAGUUGGCGGUAGGGGAAAACAGAAGGGGAGGCCAAGCAGCUGCACUGGUGUGCAGGCUGCAGUGGUGGGGGGAGGUCUUGCUC
This 4240-nucleotide long non-coding RNA is filed under the name Sus scrofa (pig). RNAcentral's name for it is "lncRNA (ENSSSCG00050078634.1)". The record is from RNAcentral. Lineage: Eukaryota; Metazoa; Chordata; Mammalia; Artiodactyla; Suidae.